GUAAUUCUAGGAUGUGGGUGGCUAUUUUCUACCCGUUAAAUAAUGGUACUUUCUCUCUCUAAGAAGCCUUCCAGUUUUAGUGAUAAACAUUAAAUUAUAAGGAAGAGAAAAAUGACAUGUUUAAAGGCUCCAUAGCCACACACACGUACCAACAUCUCCCACUUGACCAUGAAGGCUAGAUAUAUUGAAAUAUCAUAAAGUCUUUACCACUUAAUGAGUUUAAUAUUUAUGAGCAUAUCUUUGUCAUGAGGCUUUUCAUGCUAGUGCGGCUAUAUAUCUCAUAACAAAAAAAUAUCCAAAGUCAUGUCAUGGGUUUUUCAAGCUAAUACGGCUUUUCCUCUCUUGAUCAAGACAUCAAAAAUAUCCCAUUUGGGAGUUCAUGACUUAAAUAUUUCUAAGUCUCAUCAAAGCUAGAUGCUUUGAUAAUAUUUCUUCACUUAAUCCAUUUAUCAAAUGGUCUGCAAUCAUAUCUGAAGAUGGCAAAUAACUUACAGUUAUUUUAUUCUUUUCAAUAAUAUCAUAAAUGUAAUGAUAAUGAAU
This 540-nucleotide long non-coding RNA is filed under the name Amborella trichopoda. RNAcentral's name for it is "long non-coding RNA (ATRI_LNC001974)". The record is from RNAcentral. Lineage: Eukaryota; Viridiplantae; Streptophyta; Magnoliopsida; Amborellales; Amborellaceae.